ACGCGGAGAGACUGUUCUUCGCGCUCAUCAUUUUUUUUUUUUGUUUUUUUUUGCUUUUUUGGGGUUCACAUUAAAACUUCAUAACCCUACAGAGGCCUUUCUUCUCCGAUCUUCGAUUUUGGAUCGACCGUUUUGACCUUUUUAUCACAGCGUUUGAAGUUUUCAUGAUUGAUGAAGAAAUUGCACGAAAUAAUGAUGGAAACAAGAUCGCAAAAUUGGAACCCUGACUUCCAAAAUUUGUAUGACUUCCAUGACAACCAUCAAGUGUGGCUUUCGACCAACAAAGCUAUUUGUAUUUGGGGAUUAGUAUGCUGAUACUAGGAAUAUAAGGAAGUCUUUGGCAAGUUCUUGCAAAGAACCUUAUGGCAGCACUUUUUCAGGGAAACAUACCGGCGUUUCUCCGAUGGCCGUAUCCUCACUGAUUAUCUUGGUACGCAAUAACACUUCAUCUUUUGCCUUAUUUUCUAUCUUUUGAUGGUUGGCUUGUCAUUUUCUGCACUUUAUCUUUCUGCUUUCUACACGAGUCAGCUUUAUGUGCGUGGAAGAAUUUCCAUUAUUGAACAUCCUUUUACUCCAUUUGUAAUUAAUAUGUGUAAACGAGCCUGCUAAUUUGUCUGUGACGUGUGGGAUUUUAUCUAUACAUGUUUCACCAAUGUGGAUGUAUGGGGCUUUAAUUUGCAUCUUUAUCUUUAAAAAUUAUAAGCAAAUAUCUAAUUUUAGUGCUCAAAUAAUGACAUGAACAGCUAAAUUCUUGUGACUCAAAUCUCCAGUAGCCUGCACAUGGAUGAAUUUGGGAAAGCAAAAAUGGUUGAAUGGGAUGAACUUUGCUUACAAAAAAGUUUUUACCAUGAUGUCAGUUCACCGACUCAGGAAGAUUCCUGAUAAUUUAUCGACUUUUGAGCAGUUGGAUCUAAAUCCUUAUAUCACUACUAGAUUAAAUAUUAACUCAACUCUAUAUUUAUGAUGUGUGAGAUAUCAUCUACAUCACUUGUAGUGUAAUGUACUACUUUUGGCCCCGUCUUGAAUUAAAAUGUUGUUACUUCAUUUAUUUUUACUUAGAUAUGCAAUUUGAAGAAAGGCAAUGAAUUAUAUGUUAUUUCUUGUUAUGUGUGCAGGCUAAUACCAUCCAUUUUUUUGUUUUUUUCACCAAGAUUGGCUGUAUUCUUCUUUCUGUUAGGCAGGAUUAUUUUUAUUUGGAAGCAAUACAUAGUCUUAAUUAUGUUGUAAAUCAAUCAGAUUACACAGUGCAAACGCUAGGAAAUGUGACCACAUAUUUGUCACUUACGAAUUCUGUCAGUGUGGUCCCAAAUUUUUCUUACUUCAGAUGUAAUGAAUGAUAUUGAUGGGUUAAAUGUGGACCUGAAUACUGCAACAAAUACAUUGGAGCAGAAGAAAAAUGAAAACUCAGGCAAAACUCAACAAGUCUUCAAUUCUGUAUAUGAUUGUGUGUACCUUGAAUGAAUUUUAAUUCACUUCGAUUAAUUCAUUCAUAAUUUAAUGUCAAUAACCAAAUGCGUUCUUGCAGGAGAUCAACACUUAUCACUGUUGCUGUAAGAUGCUUCUCUUAUCUUUUCUUGGCCUCGGUAUGCAUUGUUAGAUUGUCUCAUAUUCUUUAACUGGAAUUAUAUGUUUUCUAUUGCUGAUUGGUUAGUUAUUUGGUGCAAUUCUGUCUAUCCUAGGUCAUCAACACACAAUAUAUGUAUAAGUUUUCACUUUAAGGUUAUUUAGUUGGUAGUUCCACUUAUUUAUAUUUUUAGAGCUGAUUGUUCUGGUUUUAACAAAAGUGCCUUUUGGUAGUUCACUCCUCAAGUUGACAGUUCAUCUUUUUGAUGUCAUUAUUAGUCGAUGGUUACUUGUGGCAAUAACUUUCUUCAUAUGUUAAGUUUUUGUCAUCCUGAACAAGUGAGAUUCUUUAUUUUCACAUGAACCGCAUUUAUUUUUUAUUAUAAACAUUUUUGUUAGUAACUUAUUCAUACACUAGAUGCAAUCUUCUUUCUUACCUGGGGAAAAAACUACAAAUCAUUAAAUGAUGGUGAAUUGUGUCUGACCAUCUUCUUUUUUAUGUGUUCUCAAUGCAUCAUAUCACUAUUUUAUUUGCUUUAAUUCACUUUACGCUUCUUUUUUUGUACUUUGGGCUUUUACCUGUUAGUUGGCUCUUUAAAGCUCUUUUGACAAUGUCCUUCAUAUCAGGAAAUAGUAGAAAGUAGGCAAUAUUGACUAACCAUGGGGAGCCUCAUGGCCAUGUAUUUAACUUAUCUAAUGAAAGACUUCAAUGAAAAACAAAUAAAUAAAAUCUUCUUAACCAUCUAAACUCCAUGUAUUUUGCCAAAAUGAUGCUAGAAUUCUCAAAUUCCCCUAUGAAAAUGAAAAUGAAAAUGAAAAUUGAUUAUGGUGUUCACUAAAUAUGUAUUAGUUACUGAAGUCAUGGGGAUGAUUUAUGAUGUCAAUUGCCAUAUUGUAUGUAUUUCCAAGUGAGUAUUUCAUUUCGCGAAUCUGAGAGCUGAUGUUGUACAGUAGGGUGUCGAGUUCUGACUGGAAAGCUAAGGCAACGUUAUUCAUCCCUUCAAAACGACCAUAUUUACUUAUCAAAAGUUUCUGGAAAAGACUAAUGGCCAGACAGCAUCUGACUGGUGCAACUCUAAUGAUACCAAACAUCCGUGCCCCGAGGUCGUACAAAACCUACCAUCAGACAUGACAUCAGUUCUAUUAUAUGAAUCUUCCUUUUUUUGUCUGGAAGAAAAUGCAUACAAUACUGGAAGGAAGGAAAGCUUACUUCAGUAUGAGUUGUAUAUGCUGACAUCGGAUGGUCGAUGAACUUCCCUAUAGGCACUGUACUACUUUUGUUGAAAUAAUAAAAAAUGUCAUUGCUUCCAACACUGAUGAAAAACAGUGCUUUUGAGAUUGUUGCUUCUUUUUAUGCUUGGCCCAUAACUUCAGUGAGAUUAUUGUGCAGUGCAGCAAAUUUAACGAUCAAGUCCAACAAUGGCACAAUAUUUUGUUGGUGAGGUAAUUUUACUAGGGAAGAAAUUGUCAGAGUUAGCUCUGCCCAAAUAUAUAAAGCCAUUGUAUUAGUAAGAAUUCAAAGGGUUCAUUUUUCAUAUAAGAGAAAAAUAAUGAUGUUUAGAAAUAGGCUCGAGGACUUUGCAGUUUUGGGCCAGUUGUAUCAAGAAGGCCACAGAAAUGCAUCAAAGAUGUAUGUAAUAUUAUGCCUUACUAUUCACUGAUUGAUCAUUACUUUGUAUCCAAUGUUGUUAUUUUAUA
Molecule: long non-coding RNA, 3261 nt
Organism: Olea europaea var. sylvestris
Lineage: Eukaryota; Viridiplantae; Streptophyta; Magnoliopsida; Lamiales; Oleaceae
Exons: 2
Source: RefSeq, a predicted model, not a curated record